RNAcentral lists this ribosomal RNA (429 nucleotides) under Gemmatimonadota bacterium. Its description in RNAcentral is "Gemmatimonadetes bacterium partial 16S ribosomal RNA". It matches the Rfam family "Bacterial small subunit ribosomal RNA", at positions 355 to 776 of the family's 1533-position model. Lineage: Bacteria; Pseudomonadati; Gemmatimonadota. The record is from RNAcentral.
UAGGGAAUCUUCGGCAAUGGACGAAAGUCUGACCGAGCAACGCCGCGUGAGUGAAGAAGGUUUUCGGAUCGUAAAACUCUGUUGUUAGAGAAGAACAAGGACGUUAGUAACUGAACGUCCCCUGACGGUAUCUAACCAGAAAGCCACGGCUAACUACGUGCCAGCAGCCGCGGUAAUACGUAGGUGGCAAGCGUUGUCCGGAUUUAUUGGGCGUAAAGCGAGCGCAGGCGGUUUCUUAAGUCUGAUGUGAAAGCCCCCGGCUCAACCGGGGAGGGUCAUUGGAAACUGGGAGACUUGAGUGCAGAAGAGGAGAGUGGAAUUCCAUGUGUAGCGGUGAAAUGCGUGUAUAUAUGGAGGAACACCAGUGGCGAAGGCGGCUCUCUGGUCUGUAACUGACGCUGAGGCUCGAAAGCGUGGGGAGCAAACAGG